UGGAGAGGUGCCAUCGGUCCCCCUCGGCGCCAAAAUCCCUUGGAACGGGGUAUCGGAGAAGGUGAGAAUCCUGUCAAGCGCCGGAGUGGGACCGUACGAUGUGCUCUCGUAGAGUCGGGCUGCUUGGGAGUGCAGCCUGAAGCGGGUGGUAAAUUCCAUCUAAAGCUAAAUACUGGCGGGAGACCGAUAGCGAACAAGUACCGUGAGGGAAAGAUGCAAAGAACUUUGAAAAGAGAGUUAAAGAGUGCUUGAAAUUGGCAGGAGGAAACCCGGUUGCGCGUGGCAUUUGGCGUGUUCGACUCAGCCGCGCGCGGAGAUCUGUAGGGGACCUAAGGCCUCGUGGUCAGCGCGCGCGGUGCACUUCGGCCGCGUCGGUCAGCCGCGUUUCUGCGCGGCCCAUACGGCCGCGGGCAGGGCUUCGGCGCCGCCUGCGGUUUGGGGGUCGCGCGGGAUCCCGGCUGAUGCGCACGGGCGCAACCGACCCGUCUAGAAACACGGACCAAGGAGUCUGACGCGUGUGC
This 521-nucleotide ribosomal RNA is filed under the name Phaeocystis globosa. RNAcentral's name for it is "partial large subunit ribosomal RNA". It matches the Rfam family "Eukaryotic large subunit ribosomal RNA", at positions 151 to 687 of the family's 3401-position model. Lineage: Eukaryota; Haptophyta; Phaeocystales; Phaeocystaceae. The record is from RNAcentral.